GCAUGAAUUGCCACCCACAAAUUUGAAAAUUAGAAGCCCACUUUCAGUCUGCCCUGUUCUUUCACAUACCAUGGUCUUGGCAUUGCUCCUUCAGGUCUGCAAAGCAUGAGGUGCAACAUCACACAGCAAAAUUUGGUCUUGAAGGCUCGUAUCGUUUAUGAACAGGAGAAUCAGGUAGCUGGAGCCCAUCCUGUGAAGAUGAAUAUCAUGUCUCGUUUAGUUUCCCUUCUCUUCCUG
Molecule: unclassified non-coding RNA, 237 nt
Filed under: Hevea brasiliensis (rubber tree)
Lineage: Eukaryota; Viridiplantae; Streptophyta; Magnoliopsida; Malpighiales; Euphorbiaceae
Source: RNAcentral